AAUCAGCUAUACUUCAGUUAAGAAAAAGAAAUUUUUUUUCUACAAGGCCCUUAUAAUCCAUAGUACAAUAAUGAGCUCCCAUGAGAAGUUGAAAAAAAUCAAAGCUGCUUACAAACUGCACGCAUCACAUACCAGAUGAUAAUCCCAAGACAACAGAGAAGUGAUCGCAAUGAUAUGGCACCACCUUUUACAGAUACGAUUCUGAGAAAAUUCACAGUAAAGAGAAAGUUCCCUGUGGGAAACAGUUGUUAGGACAUGACCCUUGAGCUGGGCUUGACAGAGGUAUAGAGUCAGUGGAAAGCUUAGGGAAGGUGUUUCUAGAGGAUGGAGGAAUGUAGAAGAAGGCCCAGAAGUGAGGAUGGAAAAGAUAGAUACUAGGAGCAGUAGGGAUGAGCCUGCCUGUCAGGAAAAUUACAUCGAUUGGGUGAAGUUGGGACAAGUGAGCUGACUUUUCAAACUAGGCGAGGAGUUUGGAUUUCACCUUUUAAGUUGCCAAGGAACAGAAGAGUUCUUCUCAAGACCUUUAAGGUACCGGUGUGCAUUGUGAACCUCCAAAAUAGAAAUGUAUGCUAUUUCCCAAAUUUAUCUGACACUGGAAGCUUUUUUCCAUGACAUCACUUAUUAACAACUUUGAAAAGAUUUGUUCUACAGAUACCUAGAGGAAGAAGACCCUCAACCUAGAGUAUGCUCGGAAAACUGGGAGCUCAAAGGUUCCAAAAAUAACAAAAAUUUUUCAAAGGCAUGAAUAGUAUCUUGGGUAGUAUCCAAAAGCAUCAAUUCAUCCUCACUGUUAGCAGCACAUUGUGGGUCACUUGGAAAGGGACUCGUGGUUUUCUGAGACCUUCUUUCCUUCUUUAAUGAUUGAUAAAUCUGUCACAUAUUUCAUCAUAAGAUUCUUUUAUCCUUGCAAAAUACGUUUCUGGCUUGGUGUGACACCACACUUAGUUCAAGCAAUAGGGUGUAUUGCCUGUUCUUCAGCAGGCCGCAGGCACUCUCUCUGGUCAUUGUCAGAUGCCAGGUGGCACCUGUAAGACAAGCAGGAAGGAACUGGUCUUGCCUCAUAAAAGCAGCCUCAAACCAGGAAGGCUCUGUCUGCAGCCCCAGGCCUUUCCUGUCUGUCCCCACUCUUGCCAGGACUUUCUUUGUGUCCUUGCUGUUGUCUCAUUUGGGUUCUCAGUUGCUUACUGUGGUUCCCCACCCCCUCCUGUGCUAAGCCACUUGGUAAUUGAACUUGACUUUUAUCUUCCCUUCGUUCUAUUUUAAAAAUAUCUGAAAAUAGCUUGUUUUUCCAAUGGGGCCUCCAGCAAGUCUUUAACUUUAGUUUAGCGAUAGUUCCCAGCCAGGAGUGGCACCACAUCCCCCCAGCCUUCUACAUGUGGCAUUUGGAAAUCUUUGGAGGCAUUUUUUGUGAGGGGAUUAUCACCAUGCACUGUAGAGAAGGUCCUAUUACCAAGUACCGAGCAGAGGCUGAGAAUAUUAGGCAUCAGGCAGUGUGGCAAUAGCCCUACAUAAUGAAGAGUUGCCUGUCCCCAGAUGCCAGGAGUGUCCCCAGUGAGAACCGCUGUGUGCUUCCCAAACUCUGGCCACUUGAGUACCACUUUGAUAAUUUUUAAUAUAUAAUGUACCACUUGUGCAAAUUUUUUAAAAAUUAACUCACUUAAAAAAUUAUUUUCUUUUAGCAAUAGUCUGUUUGAAACAAUGGGUUAAUGUUAUUUAUAUUUAAAAUAAACAUAAAGAUAAAUACCUAACACCUCAUACAAAAUAUUCUGCAUUAGUCAUACGUAUAUGAAAUUUGGGAACACUGGGUCCUGCUUAUGGCCACGUACCCUUUUGGGGUUUUAAUGGGAGCAUUAGCCUUGCACACAUUUUGUCUUCUGAACUAUGAAGAUCUAAGCCAGUGUGCCUGAUGGACUCCUUAAUGUGGUGCUUAUAAGGCCACAUGUUUAAUGUCCCAUUAAGGUGAUUUAUUUUCUAUAAAGAAGUUCCUCCCACUGGCAAUGACAUCAUCCUUGACCCAGGCCAGGGUCUGUCUUUGCUGGUUGCAAAGUCAAAGGGUGAAAGUGAGGCUCACUUGGCAUUUGCCUCCUUGUAUUCUAGAAUUCUAGGCUCUGUGAGGACAGACCUGUGUCUUGUGUCCCCACCUUUCCUAAUGCAAUGAGCAUUUAUGAAAGUCUCAGUGGGUGAAUGAAAGCAUGACCAAAUGAAUGGAUGCUAACCCCGCACCACAAAACAGGCAACGGGGUAAUAUAAACACUGCUGCCCCGGAGUCCAAAAGUCUUGCAUACGUUUCUUAGGCUUCCUGAUGUUCAUUUAAGGCAAUUCUAGACUAAGUUCCUGCUCCAUUUCAGCUGACUCAUCCUGCAGGAUUACUGCAGCCACGUGCAAUGAGCACAGAGAAGGGAGGGAGAGGAGACAAGAGAGGAAACAGCAGCCUCGGGGGAAGUUGAUUUCAAGGGCAAGGUGUCAUUUCAUCCUCUGACCACUGUAGACGCCAGGAUUUUAGCCUGAGUUCCCUUAUUUUACAGGUCAGAAAACUGACGCUUGAGGAAAUUAUCUAACCCAGGGUCACUCACUAAAAUACAUAGCAAUGUCAGCGUUUGAACUCAAGCCCACCUGAGCUGUCUUUAUAACCCCGGAGGUGCUGCCAAGGAUCCCGGAAUGGCUGUGUCAGCUUCGUUGUUUCCAACCCACCUGCUGGACUUUUGAUGUAAGCAGCUCUCUCCCCUCACUAUCAUGGAGAGCAAGUGGGUGACGUUCAUAAAAUAGAUCUUACUAGUUCCUGCCUGCUGCCAGCCAGAAAGUCAUGUGAAAUAGCACAGCAAAGCGAGGUUGCCGUUGUUGCCCCAUGGGAUUUCGUCAAAAGCCAAGAUAAUCCGGGCUGAGACAAUCUGUGGGCAGGGCACCACAUGGGCUUUUGAAUAGGGUGUUUGUCUCAUUGGCUGAAGGAAAAGAGCUCUAUUCAUAACCUUCCCCUGAUAGCCUUUUGCAGGAGAAAGUGGAGGAAAAGCCAGAAUCUCAGGGGAAAGAGGCCUUUUCCCUUUCUCUGAGCAGGAUAGUUCCGCAUCCCCUCCCUGGCAACACUGAUUUUAGGUAAAUGGUUGAAUUUUUUUCUCCCACCAUUAUGGGAGCAGCGCUAAUAAGUUGUCUUAGUACCUGAGUGUUUUGAGGAAUGUCCUGCCUUUAUUUAGCCAAGUGAAAUCUGAGCUGCUUCUUGAUGUUAUUAAAAAUUGUCCUUGCUCUCUAUCCCCACCCCAGAGCCUUCCUUCUGUCCCCACGGAGCAGAUUCGAAACUUUUUUCAAAAUAAAAUGUCAUUGGUCUACUCUACCCUCUGAGGAAUGAUCCUCCCGCCCUUUGUAGUUGACUGUGGCUGUAUCCUGCCUUUGAAACAGCGUAUCUUGUUAGAUCAUCCACAGGAUUGGGAAAUGACCUCUCGUCUGAAUUUAAUUCCAGCCAAGAUGGUGUGAGGUUGCUGUUGGCCAACCUGAAGUUUGGGCUUUCAAGUGAAAACCUGAGGAAUUUCCUUUCCAGCCCCACUGUCUAUGAACAAAAGUGAUCUUCAGUCAUGGUGGCCUCCCUUGGAAAGCCAGGCUUGCCUGGGCAGUCACGGCUCCAGUGUUCAGGAUUCACGAUGCUAGUCAGCGACUGUGCAAACAGGGAGAAGGCUGGCAAGAUACACAGCAGCUGUAACCUGGAACCACCACUUCUACAACUGGUUGAAUCCACAGAUGCAGACCCCACAGAUACAGACGGACAACUGUACUAUGUUCUACCUCUAGUCCCAGACUCUGAUGAAUCAGAACAGCAACUCCCCUUCCCUUGCGUUGGCAGCAGGGAGGCUGGGAAGAAGCAAGAUGGCAGGGAGGAAGGAGCUGAGAAUUCCUCUUUUCUGUGCUGAAGUUACUGUCAUCCCUGUUUUUCAUAUGAGGAAACCGAGAUGUGGAAAGAUUAACUGAAGUUCAGUGAGGCCUAGUUUCAAAAAGCCGCGAAUGAAAAUCCCAGCUUCUAAAUUCAGCCAUAGUCACCUGGUCAAAGAUACCAUCAUUGCUGCUGAACUUGUGAUGGCCCACCCCCACCUCCAUUCUUUUUGGCAUUUCUUUUGGGUUAUACACUAAAAUAACUAAAGAUACACAUUCAAGAAAUAGAAACAUGAGAGGCGACUUGGAAUCAUUUACUGCUACCUGUUCUUUGCAGAGAUAAUGAGACUGUCAUCUCAAGAGUGAGUGGUUGGGAAUGGAACCCAGGUCUUUUGUACCCUAGUCUGGUGCUUUUCCCUCUGUGGUCCUGUGAAGGGGUUCCUGAGAUAUGCUCCCUCUGACUUAUUUGGAAUCUUCCUCCUCCCCAGUGGUUUGAGAGGCAGGAGAAUGUGGUAGAAAGGGUACAGGUCUGAGUACUGGAAGUCCCAGGUGAUGUCCCGGCUCCAGCUUGUGUAAGCUUGUAAUCCGGGCAUACUCUCCUUGGCUUCUUCUUCUGGAAAAUUGAUAUAAUAAUAUUUGCCAACCUCUCAGGACAGUUGUAAGAAUGAAAAGAGAUACUAACUGUGAAAAAUCUCUGUAGGUUCCAGGUGGUGGGCAAUGGUAAGUAAUCAGUUUUGGGAAAUCUCACUCUAUAGGGUGUCCAACUGCUGAGCUAAGACGGUCAUGCCUCCAGCUUCUUAUAUUUGGCUUCCUGUAGAAUUUUUUGACUCUCCACCUUUGCACAUUGCACCCCCCUCCCCCCGUUCGUAUGAUUUUACUUCCAUUGGUGGUGGUCCAGCUGAUUUCUGGACCCAGAGUCCAUAGAAGUCAGUGACUCAGUUUUCUAUGUGGGAAGAGGUUUUUCUCCUCCCCAAGGCCCCAAGAAUGAGCAGAGCGCGUGAGUACU
Vicugna pacos (alpaca) is the source of this 4861-nucleotide non-coding RNA. The record is from RefSeq and is a predicted model, not a curated record. Lineage: Eukaryota; Metazoa; Chordata; Mammalia; Artiodactyla; Camelidae.